AUUGAACGCUGGCGGCAGGCCUAACACAUGCAAGUCGAGCGGAUGAAGGGAGCUUGCUCCUGGAUUCAGCGGCGGACGGGUGAGUAAUGCCUAGGAAUCUGCCUGGUAGUGGGGGAUAACGUCCGGAAACGGGCGCUAAUACCGCAUACGUCCUGAGGGAGAAAGUGGGGGAUCUUCGGACCUCACGCUAUCAGAUGAGCCUAGGUCGGAUUAGCUAGUUGGUGGGGUAAAGGCCUACCAAGGCGACGAUCCGUAACUGGUCUGAGAGGAUGAUCAGUCACACUGGAACUGAGACAGGGUCAAGACGCCUACGGGAGGCAGCAGUGGGGAAUAGUGGACAAAGGGCGAAAGCCUGAUCCAGCCAUGCCGCGUGUGUGAAGAAGGUGUUCGGAUUGUAAAGCACGUUAAGUUGGGAGGAAGGGCAGUAAGUUAAUACCUUGCUGUUUUGACGUUACCAACAGAAUAAGCACCGGCUAACUUCGUG
This 484-nucleotide ribosomal RNA is filed under the name uncultured bacterium. RNAcentral's name for it is "partial 16S ribosomal RNA". It matches the Rfam family "Bacterial small subunit ribosomal RNA", at positions 30 to 507 of the family's 1533-position model. The record is from RNAcentral.